This 534-nucleotide ribosomal RNA is filed under the name uncultured bacterium. RNAcentral describes it as "bacterial SSU rRNA". It matches the Rfam family "Bacterial small subunit ribosomal RNA", at positions 777 to 1304 of the family's 1533-position model. The record is from RNAcentral.
AAUAGAUACCCGGGUAGUCCACGCCGUAAACGGUGGGCACUAGGUGUGGGCGACAUUCCACGUCGUCCGUGCCGCAGCUAACGCAUUAAGUGCCCCGCCUGGGGAGUACGGCCGCAAGGCUAAAACUCAAAGGAAUUGACAGGGGCCCGCACAAGCGGCGGAGCAUGUGGCUUAAUUCGACGCAACGCGAAGAACCUUACCAAGGCUUGACAUACACCGGAAACGUCCAGAGAUGGGCGCCCCCUUGUGGUCGGUGUACAGGUGGUGCAUGGCUGUCGUCAGCUCGUGUCGUGAGAUGUUGGGUUAAGUCCCGCAACGAGCGCAACCCUUGUCCCGUGUUGCCAGCAGGCCCUUGUGGUGCUGGGGACUCACGGGAGACCGCCGGGGUCAACUCGGAGGAAGGUGGGGACGACGUCAAGUCAUCAUGCCCCUUAUGUCUUGGGCUGCACACGUGCUACAAUGGCCGGUACAAUGAGCUGCGAUACCGCGAGGUGGAGCGAAUCUCAAAAAGCCGGUCUCAGUUCGGAUUGGGGU